CUCGGACCGCCAAGAAUGUUGGGAAGCUUGAGUUUGUUUUUCCUGUUUGCAGAUAACUCGCCGUUCCUUGUUGCUUGCGAGACCCCGCUCCCUCCGGACGGACUGAGGUGGCUUCCUUUACUGAUAUCCGUCUGUGCUUUUCGUUGAGGAAACAUCUGACCUUAUGAUGUGCCGGAUCCUGGAGACCCGAGACACAUCGGCUCGCUUUUCAGGUUUGGGAUGCACAAAGAUGAGAAAUAAAAAGGAAAAAGAUUUCCAGAAAGAAGCCAUAAGAUUCAAGGUAUCACAGUCCAAGCUAAUGUCCACAGAUUCUUGACUAAAUGAUCUGAGAAAAUUGGAUUCAUGACAAACGAAGCUUACUAGACUAAGGCAAGGAACUUUGAUUCACUUACACAUCACUUGCAGUGUCUGAGUCAUAGGCUGGUCCGUUGACCGUGGUAUAGCCCCUGUGCUGUAUUUUACCCUGGCUUUCCUAGCUCUUUGAACAGAAAGAUGAUAGAGAAAUCUAAGAUACAGGAGAAGGGAACAGAAAGGACCCAACAAGCAUGAACCAGACUGGGGUAACUAGAAGAUUCUAAUUUUGGCACCAGGAAGAAAUUCUUCCCAUGCUUCAUUUGGGAAAUGCUGGGCCCUGGUGGAAAAAAAAAAAAGAGAUACAACAAAUGAGGACAAAGCAAAAACAGAUUGUGCCUGAUUUGUGUCAGAGUGGAGCACAGAGGACUUCUGGAUUAGGUGGAGAGAAUACCCAGGCAUCUCCAUGGCCCUGCUGAUGGUUCCAGAACUUCAUCCAGUCAGUGAUGAGCUACAUGUACACCUGGAGGAGAUUGCUAUGACUGAUUGGGUGUGCCAUGAGUCAGCUACCAACCUGCCACCAUACUACCACCAUGGGAGACACCUGAGACUUCUUCACAUUUGAUUAAUAAGCGCAACAG
This is a long non-coding RNA of Arvicola amphibius (Eurasian water vole), 932 nucleotides long. RefSeq lists it as uncharacterized. The transcript is spliced from 7 exons. The record is from RefSeq and is a predicted model, not a curated record. NCBI's taxonomy places the organism in Eukaryota, Metazoa, Chordata, Mammalia, Rodentia, Cricetidae.